AUCGGUCGGUCGGAAUAACCGGCGAUCGGAGCGGCCGGGUGUCUCGCCACGGUGGGGCACUUCGCGGAU
RNAcentral lists this small RNA (69 nucleotides) under Sinorhizobium meliloti 2011. Its description in RNAcentral is "putative ncRNA". The record is from RNAcentral. Lineage: Bacteria; Pseudomonadati; Pseudomonadota; Alphaproteobacteria; Hyphomicrobiales; Rhizobiaceae.